Molecule: transfer RNA, 65 nt
Filed under: Wormaldia spinosa
Lineage: Eukaryota; Metazoa; Arthropoda; Insecta; Trichoptera; Philopotamidae
Description: tRNA-Ile
Source: RNAcentral
AAUAAAGUGCCUGAUAAAAGGAUUAUUCUGAUAGAGUAAAUUAUAUAAUUAAAUUAUCUUUAUUA